CCUACGGGGGGCUGCAGUAGGGAAUAUUGGACAAUGGGGGAAACCCUGAUCCAGCGAUGCCGCGUGGAUGAUGAAGGCCUUCGGGUCGUAAAGUCCUUUUCUGAGGGAAGAACUGUCUGGCGAGGAAAUGCGCUGGAUUUGACGGUACCUCAGGAAUAAGCAACGGCUAACUCCGUGCCAGCAGCCGCGGUAAUACGGAGGUUGCAAGCGUUGUUCGGAAUAACUGGGCGUAAAGGGAGCGCAGGCGGCUUGGUAAGUCUAAAGUGAAAUUCCAGGGCUCAACCCUGGACGUGCUUUGGAUACUGCCUGGCUUGAGUACGUGAGAGGAGAUUGGAAUUCCAGGUGUAGCGGUGAAAUGCGUAGAUAUCUGGAGGAACACCGGUGGCGAAAGCGGAUCUCUGGCACGUUACUGACGCUGAGGCUCGAAAGCGUGGGGAGCAAACGGGAUUAGAUACCCCUGUAGUC
This 465-nucleotide ribosomal RNA is filed under the name uncultured bacterium. RNAcentral describes it as "bacterial SSU rRNA". It matches the Rfam family "Bacterial small subunit ribosomal RNA", at positions 338 to 795 of the family's 1533-position model. The record is from RNAcentral.